GUAAACAUCAACAGUAAAGAUUACAAAGUAAACGUCGAAGCAAAAAGAAUGGCGAGAGCCUAACCGCUUUAUAGUUAUCAAUGGUUACAAAUCCAUUUUGUGGCUCCAAAAGCUUGAAUUGGGUCCUGAGUGACAGAUUACCUUCAAUGCUGCACGCUUGAAAGGAGUUGCACGGAGAUAUGCCUUAACUGACUUGUAUAUGAAGUUAUCCAAAGGCACGGCAAGAUCUUCAUCUCGUAACCACGGGUGUGCUGUGAAUCAAAGAAGGCGUUUCACAAAAUCUUUAGCUUCUGGAGAGAUGGUUGGCCAAGGGGAAUCAUCGAAGUUAGGAUCGGCUCUUAGCACAGAGCGGAAGAUUCCUGAUUCAGUUCUUGCCCAGAAAGGUCUGCUCCCACACAACAGUAUAUAUGCUAUGACACCAAUACUCCACAUGUCUGCUUCAAAACUGUAGGAUCUGUAGAGUACUUCAGGAGCAACAUAGUAUGCACUGCCGACGACAUCGUUCAGACGUUCAUCUGUAGAAGAACUAUAGGCGUUGUGAAAACAGUCUCACCCCUAAUGAGAUGGCAAAGUGAAAAUCAAGUAGGAAUUGAAAGCAGCAACUGCUCAAGGACAGGCCAGAAGCUUGGAUGGUAACAUGAAUCUCUCUCCACCAUUCUUUCAUAAUAUAUGCAAAUGUUUAAUGAAUUGAACAAAGGCAAGAACAUAUUAUCAAGGGCAACAAGUAUUUACCUGGCUUGACGAAGUCAGAGAGACCAAAAUCAAUGAGUUUGAGCCCUGUGUUCUCAUCUUUCUUCAUAAAAAGGAAAUUCUGGUACAGUGAAUUUGGAUAAAGCUAGUUACAACAAGUAAUAGGGAACUUUAUUCAGAGCCAAAGAAUGAAUUGAAGCUACAAAAAGAUGUGUACCUCUGGCUUCAAGUCACGGUGCACUAUCCCUUGUAGAUGACAAAAUGCAACAACACAGAGUAUCUGCACAAUGAUCGUUUUCGAUUCUUGUUCUUGAUAUCUUCCUCCUCUGCAGGUAUAUGUUAUGAACUUGUAACCGAGUCGAUCGACGUUUUUCUCAGAGUAAAUGAAUCAAACCAUUUUUACCUUGACA
Long non-coding RNA from Cucurbita maxima (winter squash), 1100 nucleotides. RefSeq lists it as uncharacterized. The transcript has 3 exons. The record is from RefSeq and is a predicted model, not a curated record. NCBI's taxonomy places the organism in Eukaryota, Viridiplantae, Streptophyta, Magnoliopsida, Cucurbitales, Cucurbitaceae.